Molecule: ribosomal RNA, 253 nt
Filed under: uncultured bacterium
Lineage: Bacteria
Description: partial 16S ribosomal RNA
Rfam family: Bacterial small subunit ribosomal RNA
Source: RNAcentral
UACGUAGGGUGCAAGCGUUGUCCGGAAUUAUUGGGCGUAAAGAGCUCGUAGGCGGUUUGUCGUGUCGGCUGUGAAAACCUGGGGCUCAACCCCGGGCCUGCAGCCGAUACGGGCAAACUAGAAUUCGGUAGGGGAGACUGGAAUUCCUGGUGUAGCAGUGAAAUGCGUAGAUAUCAAGAGGAACACCAGUGGCGAAGGCGAGUCCCUGGACGAUACCUGACACUGAGGCACGAAAGCCAAGGGAGCAAACAGG